UACAGAGGUCUCAAGCGUUGUUCGGAUUCAUUGGGCGUAAAGGGUGCGUAGGUGGCGCCAUAAGUCAGGUGUGAAAUCUCGGGGCUCAACCCCGAAACUGCAUUUGAUACUGUGGUGCUCGAGUACUGGAGAGGAGAUUGGAAUUUACGGUGUAGCAGUGAAAUGCGUAGAGAUCGUAAGGAAGACCAGUGGCGAAGGCGGGUCUCUGGACAGUUCCUGACGCUGAGGCACGAAGGCCAGGGGAGCAAACGGG
RNAcentral lists this ribosomal RNA (253 nucleotides) under uncultured bacterium. RNAcentral's name for it is "partial 16S ribosomal RNA". It matches the Rfam family "Bacterial small subunit ribosomal RNA", at positions 524 to 776 of the family's 1533-position model. The record is from RNAcentral.